RNAcentral lists this ribosomal RNA (478 nucleotides) under uncultured bacterium. Its description in RNAcentral is "partial 16S ribosomal RNA". It matches the Rfam family "Bacterial small subunit ribosomal RNA", at positions 28 to 507 of the family's 1533-position model. The record is from RNAcentral.
GAUGAACGCUGGCGGCGUGCUUAACACAUGCAAGUCGAACGAGAAGUGAAGACGGAAACCUUCGGGCGUAAGGCUUUAUUUCGAGUGGCGGACGGGUGAGUAACGCGUGGGUAACCUGCCUCAUACAGGGGGAUAACAGUUGGAAACGACUGUUAAUACCGCAUAAGACCACAGCACCGCAUUGUGCGGGGGUAAAAACUCCGGUGGUAUGAGAUGGACCCGCGUUCGAUUAGCCAGUUGGCGGGGUAACGGCCCACCAAAGCGACGAUCGAUAGCCGAUCUGAGAGGAUGACCGGCCACAUUGGGACUGAGACACGGCCCAAACUCCUACGGGCGGCAGCAGUGGGGAAUAUUGCACAAUGGGGGAAACCCUGAUGCAGCGACGCCGCGUGAGUGAAGAAGUAUUUCGGUAUGUAAAGCUCUAUCAGCAGGGAAGAAAAUGACGGUACCUGAGUAAGAAGCCCCGGCUAACUACGUG